CAGUAGCCGCGGGAAUACGUAGGUGGCAAGCGUUGUCCGGAAUUAUUGGGCGUAAAGGGCUCGCAGGCGGUUUCUUAAGUCUGAUGUGAAAGCCCCCGGCUCAACCGGGGAGGGACAUUGGAAACUGGGAAACUUGAGUGCAGAAGAGGAGAGUGGAAUUCCACGUGCAGCGGUGAAAUGCGUAGAGAUGUGGAGGAACACCAGUGGCGAAGGCGACUCUCUGGUCUGUAACUGACGCUGAGGAGCGAAAGCGUGGGGAGCGAACAGGAUUAGAUACCCCCGUAGUCCCUGUCUCUUAUAC
Molecule: ribosomal RNA, 301 nt
Filed under: uncultured bacterium
Lineage: Bacteria
Description: partial 16S ribosomal RNA
Rfam family: Bacterial small subunit ribosomal RNA
Source: RNAcentral